GUGGGUCACUCCUGAUGCAUUUGAUAUUUCUAGAAAAUUGAAUGCAUUCAAAUGCAUUUAAAUGCCCACCUCCAGCAAAUUUGUAAAUCAUGGCUUGCUCAUAUGUUUGGUUGUUGUCUUUGUCAAAGAGUCAAACCAAUCGUGUCACAAUUUCGAGAAGAGCUGCUAUCUCAUCCAAAAAUUAUUCAACCCAAGGUUUUGUAGCACUUGAAGAAUAUCAGUAUUUGAAUAUUGAUUUUAAAAAAAUGGACAACGAUUUUCCUAUUUUUUCCGUGGACAGUUGGAAGGCUACGAAAGUUUAGAGGGGAAGAGCGGCUCAUAACAACAUAUCUACCGAUUAAAUGAGUUCACUUGGUCACAGAAUGUUCGUCACCGCAUAUUCAAAAAUUACUCUGAAGAUCCAGUAUUGUUAACUUUUUUCAUUCUGUUGGUUGGCCAUACACUUUUUCCAGUCAAGGAUGUUUUCCGCUGACCGAAAGAAUAUUUGAGGCAAGUUCGACACAAAGGUCCGUACGGAGAGGUUUCAAUGAGCCCUGAAGCAAAAGGAAUAGUUGUGGACAAUGUUCACAGGGCAUGAAGAAUUUAAUCUACACAUACACACAUAUACAUUCCGUAGAAAAAAUGUACAGUUCGACUAAAGAACCAUGCAGAAGAAAACGAAAAAAAGAAAUCUCAACUUGAGUGUCCGUCAUAUUCCCAACUCCUUGAAUGAAGCAAUUAAAAUGAGCCAUUUGGUCAAAGUUUAA
Aedes aegypti (yellow fever mosquito) is the source of this 746-nucleotide long non-coding RNA. RefSeq lists it as uncharacterized. The record is from RefSeq and is a predicted model, not a curated record. Lineage: Eukaryota; Metazoa; Arthropoda; Insecta; Diptera; Culicidae. The transcript has 2 exons.